This 71-nucleotide transfer RNA is filed under the name Marmota monax (woodchuck). RNAcentral's name for it is "tRNA.Ser". The record is from RNAcentral. Lineage: Eukaryota; Metazoa; Chordata; Mammalia; Rodentia; Sciuridae.
AGGGCGUAGCUCAGUGGCAGGGUGCUUGCCUGGAAUGUGCAAGGCCCUGGGUUCUAUCCCCAGCACCACUA